This 963-nucleotide long non-coding RNA is filed under the name Mytilus galloprovincialis (Mediterranean mussel). The record is from RNAcentral. Lineage: Eukaryota; Metazoa; Mollusca; Bivalvia; Mytilida; Mytilidae.
UGCAUUAAGUAUCUGAAAAAGCAAACAUAUCACUGAAAACUCUUGAUUGACUGAAAACCAAUCAAAAUGAGAUCAAGGUCAGAGUAAACAUGCAGACAGACAUGUACUGCUUACAAUCCUUUUGAGAAACAAACAUCACCAUUAAAACUUGUCAUUGAAAAAUGAACCUUAAAAAUAAGGUCAAGGUCAGAUGAAUACAGCCAAACAGACAUGUACACCUUACAAUCAUUCCAUACAACUAAUAUGGUUGACUUAUCGCUUUUAGUACAAUUUAUUUGAAAAACAGAAAACAUUGAAUACUUAACAUUGACUAGGAAACGGAGUUCUGAUAAAUUCUGCCACAUAAACAUAUACACCUUACAACUAUUCUAUAUAAGGAGACCCACACGUAGCCGAAACCUACCAGUCAGACAUGUACUCCUUACAAUCAUUACAUAUACUUAUAGUUGCCCUACUCUUAGCUUUUUGGUACUUGAGAUUCAGACCUCACCACGAAAACUUGAUUACUGCAGGUUCAUAAAGUGAGGUCAAGGUCACGAAAACGCUGACUGACAGACAUGCAAGCCUUGCAAGCUAGGAAGCUAUAUACUAUACUUGUGGUACUUUCAUGAGUAUUUCACAUGACAAGAAACUAUAAUUUGUUUUCAAGCAGUCUGACUGAAUCAUGACAAUAAGAUAAAGUACAAAAGACAUGCAUACAAGUAAUGAAGCCUUAAGGUAUCAAUGGCGGAUCCAGAAAUUUUCAUAAGUGGGGGCCCACUGACUGCCUAUGAGGGGGCCCACUGACUGCCUAGCUUCAGUGGUUCCCUUUACAACCAACCAAAAGUAAAAUAAAUAAAAAAUCUCAACGUAAGUCCCUACGCAAAUGACAAAAUCGAAAGCUCAAACCCAUCAAACGAAACAGAGUAUGUUAGAUUAACAUUACCAUACUCCGUCUCCACACAAACCCCUCGUUAUUCUCUC